Gallus gallus (chicken) is the source of this 1197-nucleotide long non-coding RNA. The record is from Ensembl. NCBI's taxonomy places the organism in Eukaryota, Metazoa, Chordata, Aves, Galliformes, Phasianidae.
GUUUUAGUUAAGAUGAUCCAACUUCAAGAAGGAAGUCUUCUCACCCUUUUCAAGCAGCUUUACUUUAAGCAUUUAAGCCUCUUUGAACUUAACAAUGGAUGACAGUGUUGAAAGGCUGCGAAACGAGUUCAACGAAAAAUGAACAAAAAGGAUGGUUCUUCCAGCACUCUUACCUGGUGUUUAUUUAAAGUCUGCUAUUUUACACGUCCUAAUGCAUCUGUGACUAUAUUUCUGGUUGAAAAAUGACAGGUUUCUGUCAAAACAAUGAACAAUUCCAUGAGCAUUUGCCUUAUUUUGACUUCUUGUCCUGCUCUUUAUGCAUACUUCUCCUUUGCUAUUUAUCUUAUGAUUCUGUUUACUGAAGUUACUUAAUAAAACCAGUGAAGAAGGAGGGAGGGAAGCUACACCCUAAGUGAAGUGGAGGGUAAACUCAUACCUGGCAAGAGGGGAUAACGGCUCACUAGCAACGACAGGGCAGUAGCUGAGAGCUUCAUACUAGUGUGAAAAUGUGUGUAUGGUUAUUGAGAUCUACAGGGGAUUUCAACGAUAGCGUUCAGGCCAAGGCAUUUGGAAGAUGAAAUCACAUAUCUGAGGAUAUGUACAAUAAAGUGAAAGGCAGAAGAGAGCAUGCAGAGCAGGGCAUCGCCUGGCUUGUCCAGCCUCAGAAAACCAGGAAUCUCCAUUCUUGAGAAUGCAAAAUUUGGGUUCAAGACAGAAAAGCUGACGAAUAUUCAUCUAGCUUUCAAUAUUUGCAAUCAAACUACUUUCAGCUUAACAAUUAUGGUGGGGUGUUUUUUCCCUCUGAAAACCCAGGGAGCAGACAGAAACAGUAGCUUGAGGAAAACUUUCCAAUUCACAGUGGUGGGUUUGAUCCUAGCAAUUUGAUUUCUGCAAUCAAUUAAUUCUGGUGAAUUCCUGGAGAAGUCAGUAAUUGAAACAGCAACAAAAGCUAAGAUAAAGUUAACAGACAACUAAUGUUCAGUCUCAAAACUUGCAUAGCGUCUCCAGUAAAUGUGUGAUCUGGACAGUUGCAACAGCUACUGAAAGUUACAGUCAGCUCGGCUGAAAGCAGAAGCUUGUUACAUGUCUAGACACAACCAGCCUGCGCCUCACGGCCGCAUAAUGUGCAAAACAAACGCAUAACCUGAGAUCUGCCAACAAAGAAUUAUUCAGCAAAUAAUUUCAAAGAGAGCAUUU